AUAUGUGCAGUGUCACAUGUUAAGUGUAAAUUGCCACAUGACCAGAGCUGUUUACUUCCUGGUUGCACCAUGAGAAGACGAUGGCUGCAUUAAAGCUCCCAAACAAAAGUUUCACUUUGAGUCAAGUUCUGGAUAUGUUGGAUCUAGGUGACUGCUCAGACAAGGCGUGCAACAUUGCAGUUAUCCCUCAGAGAUUGUGAUAGCGAUGGGUCAGAUAUGGACUAUUAGGGGGAGACAGGCCAUUUGCCAGCCAGGCUGUUGAAUGUAUAUGCUGAACCUAUGCAAACUGAUCAUGACAGGAACAACGUUAUCAGUGAUGAUGACCUACCCCUCACCACCCCACACUCUCCUCCCUGAGACUGGGUUGGGUCAUGGACCCAGUGUCGUUCUUGGGGUUGCAGAGCAAUCUCAGGUGCCUCAAGGUUGCAAGUUCCUUCAUGACAACCUCUUCACUUCGCUUGCACUCCUCGAUGAAAUGACAAAAAGAGGAUAUGGGAGCUCUAGAACGAUGAGGCAAAAUCGUCUGUUUGAUGUCCCAUUUAAGCCACAGAAGAACUUCAUGAAGUUACCCCGUGGAAUCUCUGAAGUUCUGACCCAAGGAGACAAGUUGCUGGUCCAUUAGAAAGACAAUAACAUUGUCACAGUGGGAACAAACACGAAGGAAAAAUACAGUAGUGAGACCUCUGUCAAGAGAUGGAACAAGGAGCGACGUGCCUUUGACAAAGUCCCACAACCAAAAUGCAUCAACCUAUACAAUGAGCACAUGGGUGGUGUUGAACUUCACAACCUACAGGUUUCAAGAUAGCAUAUCUCCAUCAGGUCUAAGAAGUGGUGGUGGCCCAUCUUUGCAUGGUCUCUCAACAGUGCACUCGUAAAACAGCCAUUUAUUUUACAGAGAUGUCAUGGGAGGGACCAUCAACCUGCUCACCUUCUCAUGGAUAGUGGGCCAGUCUCUUAUGCAAAAGUUUGGCACGAAACCACUGAGCCAACGAAGGAAAACUCUACUGGCUGCUACUAUUGAAGAUCAGGCAAGAUAUGACAAAGCUUUUCACUGGCCAAUCAACACGAUGCACCGGUUCCAUAGAUGUCGUCAUUGUGACAAACGCACUACAUAUGCAUGUGAGAAAUGCAAAGCGCCACUGCACAUUGAGUGCUUCAAGAUAUACCAUGGACAGUAGAAAAGGAGAUAAGAGCGAAUGAAAAAGGGC
Molecule: non-coding RNA, 1208 nt
Organism: Salvelinus sp. IW2-2015
Lineage: Eukaryota; Metazoa; Chordata; Actinopteri; Salmoniformes; Salmonidae
Source: RefSeq, a predicted model, not a curated record